Molecule: ribosomal RNA, 756 nt
Filed under: Planctomycetaceae bacterium
Lineage: Bacteria; Pseudomonadati; Planctomycetota; Planctomycetia; Planctomycetales; Planctomycetaceae
Description: bacterial SSU rRNA
Rfam family: Bacterial small subunit ribosomal RNA
Source: RNAcentral
CAAUUGAAGGGUUUGAUCCUGGCUCAGAAUGAACGUUGGCGGCGUGGAUUAGGCAUGCAAGUCGAGCGAUGAAGCAGUGCUUGCACUGUGGAUUAGCGGCGAAAGGGAGAGUAACGCGUAGAUACGUACCCUUCGGUCUGGAAUAGCUACGGGAAACUGUAGGUAAUUCCAGAUAACGUCUCCGGACCAAAGAUUUAUUGCCGGAGGAGCGGUCUGCGUCCUAUUAGGUUGUUGGUGUGGUAAUGGCGCACCAAGCCAAAGAUGGGUACCGGGUGUGAGAGCAUGGCCCGGCUCACUGGGACUGAGACACUGCCCAGACAUCUACGGAUGGCUGCAGUCGAGAAUCUUCCGCAAUGGACGAAAGUCUGACGGAGCGACGCCGCGUGCGGGAUGAAGGCCUUCGGGUUGUAAACCGCUGUCAGAGGGGAGCAAAUGGAAACUUGAGCGAUCCUCAGAGGAAGUACGGGCUAAGUUCGUGCCAGCAGCCGCGGUAACACGAACCGUACGAACGUUAUUCGGAAUCACUGGGCUUAAAGAGUCCGUAGGCGGCUUUGUAGGUGGGGUGUGAAAGCCCACGGCUCAACCGUGGAAUUGCGCUUCAAACCACAAGACUUGAGGAAGAUAGAGGAGAGCGGAACUGAUGGUGGAGCGGUGAAAUGCGUUGAUAUUAUCAGGAACACCGGUGGCGAAGGCGGCUCUCUGGAUCUUUUCUGACGCUGAGGGACGAAAGCUAGGGGAGCGAACGGGAUUAGAUAC